GUGUACUGACUGAGCUAAGGCCAAAUAAAAAAUAUAUGUCUAUUCCUGCUGCCAAGGCAAAUAAAUCCGGGUCGGUAUGCAUGGUAGUCCAAAUAAUUAUGACGUCUGGCAAGGCUAUUUUAUUUUUUUCUGGGACGCCUUCCUAUGACGUCAUAACGCUGAAGCCAUUUUUUACGUCUGGAGUUUGAGAGCAAAUUUUGGGGGGG
RNAcentral lists this long non-coding RNA (206 nucleotides) under Mytilus galloprovincialis (Mediterranean mussel). Lineage: Eukaryota; Metazoa; Mollusca; Bivalvia; Mytilida; Mytilidae. The record is from RNAcentral.